RNAcentral lists this ribosomal RNA (504 nucleotides) under uncultured bacterium. RNAcentral describes it as "partial 16S ribosomal RNA". It matches the Rfam family "Bacterial small subunit ribosomal RNA", at positions 28 to 523 of the family's 1533-position model. The record is from RNAcentral.
GAUGAACGCUAGCGGCAGGCCUAAUACAUGCAAGUCGAACGGGAUCUGAGGGUAGCUUGCUACCCGAUUUGAGAGUGGCGCACGGGUGCGUAACGCGUGAGCAACCUACCCAUAUCAGGGGGAUAGCCCGAAGAAAUUCGGAUUAACACCGCAUAAUAAUACGCUAACACAUGUUGAUGUAUUUAAAUAUUUAUAGGAUAUGGAUGGGCUCGCGUGACAUUAGCUAGUUGGUAAGGUAACGGCUUACCGAGGCGACAAUGUCUAGGGGCUCUGAGAGGAGAAUCCCCCACACUGGUACUGAGACACGGACCAGACUCCUACGGGAGGCAGCAGUAAGGAAUAUUGGUCAAUGGGCGCAAGCCUGAACCAGCCAUGCCGCGUGCAGGAUGACUGCCCUAUGGGUUGUAAACUGCUUUUGUUAGGGAUUAAACCUUCUUACGUGUAAGGAGCUGAAUGUACCUAAAGAAUAAGGAUCGGCUAACUCCGUGCCAGCCGCCGCAGUAA